CCUACGGGAGGCAGCAGUGGGGGAUAUUGCACAAUGGGGGAAACCCUGAUGCAGCGACGCCGCGUGAGUGAAGAAGUAUUUCGGUAUGUAAAGCUCUAUCAGCAGGGAAGAAAAUGACAGUACCUGACCAAUAAGCGCCGGCUAACUACGUGCCAGCAGCCGCGGUAAUACGUAGGGGGAAAGGGUUAUCCGGAUUUACUGGGUGAAAAGGUAGCGUAGACGGUGAUGUAAGUCUGGAGUGAAAGCCCGGGGCCAAACCCCGGGACUGCUGUGGAAACUGGGUAACUGGAGUACAGGAGGGGCAGGCGGAAUUCCUGGUGUAGCGGUGAAAUGCGUAGAGAUCAGGAGGAAUACCGGCGGCGAAGGCAGCCUGCUGGACUGAAACUGACGUUGAGGCGCGAAAGCGUGGGGAGCAAACAGGAUUAGAUACCCCGGUAGUC
Molecule: ribosomal RNA, 440 nt
Filed under: uncultured bacterium
Lineage: Bacteria
Description: partial 16S ribosomal RNA
Rfam family: Bacterial small subunit ribosomal RNA
Source: RNAcentral